This 387-nucleotide unclassified non-coding RNA is filed under the name soil metagenome. RNAcentral's name for it is "partial contains 5.8S ribosomal RNA, internal transcribed spacer 2, and large subunit ribosomal RNA". The stretch from base 1 to 122 matches the Rfam family "5.8S ribosomal RNA", at positions 35 to 154 of the family's 154-position model. The record is from RNAcentral.
GAUGAAGAACGCAGUGAAAUGCGAUAAGUAAUGUGAAUUGCAGAAUUCAGUGAAUCAUCGAAUCUUUGAACGCACCUUGCACCCUUUGGACUGCUCCAAAGGGUAUGCUCGUUUGAGUGUCAUUGUACUCUCACACUCUCUGAUCCUUUGGAUUUGGGGAGCGGUGGACUUGGGUGCUUGCUGCUUCCUUGUGGCUCACCUGAAAUGCAUCAGUGCAUCUCUCGAUUGGACAUAGUACGGCGUGAUAAGUGUCUUCGCCGGCACCUCAUAUGAGGGUGGCCGAUCGGGAGCUCUGUGCUUUCAAACCGUCUUCGGACAACGCUGACAACUUGACCUCAAAUCGAGGAGGACUACCCGCUGAACUUAAGCAUAUCAAUAAGCGGAGGA